GCCGGCCAGCUGGACGGUUCCUGACGCUGAGGCACGAAAGCGUGGGGAGCAAACCGGAUUAGAUACCCGGGUAGUCCACGCCGUAAACGAUGGGUGCUAGGUCUGGGGAGGAAACUCUCUGGGCCGAAGCUAACGCGUUAAGCACCCCGCCUGGGGAGUACGGCCGCAAGGCUGAAACUCAAAGGAAUUGACGGGGGCCCGCACAAGCGGUGGAGCACGUGGUUUAAUUCGAUGCAAAGCGAAGAACCUUACCUGGGCUUGACAUGCCAGGGUUGUACCCCGGUGGAAACACUGGGGGAGCGUGGGUUUUUACUCACGCGCUCUGGCACAGGUGCUGCAUGGCUGUCGUCAGCUCGUGCCGUGAGGUGUUGGGUUAAGUCCCACAACGAGCGCAACCCCUGCCCUUAGUUGCCACCGGAUAAAGCCGGGCACUCUAAGGGGACUGCCGGGGAUAACCCGGAGGAAGGAGGGGAUGACGUCAAGUCCUCAUGGCCCUUAUGCCCAGGGCUACACACGUGCUACAAUGGGGGGUACAGAGGGUUGCGAACCCGCAAGGGGGAGCUAAUCCCAGAAAGCCCUCCUCAGUUCGGAUCGGGGUCUGCAACUCGACCCCGUGAAGCCGGAAUCGCUAGUAACGGCGGAUCAGCAUGCCGCCGUGAAUACGUUCCCGGGCCUUGUACACACCGCCCGUCA
Molecule: ribosomal RNA, 693 nt
Filed under: uncultured Caldimicrobium sp.
Lineage: Bacteria; Pseudomonadati; Thermodesulfobacteriota; Thermodesulfobacteria; Thermodesulfobacteriales; Thermodesulfobacteriaceae
Description: bacterial SSU rRNA
Rfam family: Bacterial small subunit ribosomal RNA
Source: RNAcentral